This 1872-nucleotide ribosomal RNA is filed under the name Triticum aestivum (bread wheat). RNAcentral describes it as "partial small subunit ribosomal RNA". The record is from RNAcentral. Lineage: Eukaryota; Viridiplantae; Streptophyta; Magnoliopsida; Poales; Poaceae.
AGACAGUCGCGGCAUGGGAGCCCGCUCACGAGUGCCACAUCCGCAGGUUUUACUGUGUCAAGGGAGGACAGAAACAACGCACCCCUCGCACCUCUGGCUCACGGCCUUCGUUCUCUUCUCUCCGCCGCCGCCGCCAGCCUCACCGGCGCUCGUGCUUCAUCUCCCGUCCCGAGCCCUCGACCCCAACACGCCGCCACCUCAUCUCCCCAUCCCAGCCCCCCUCCCCCUCUAUGUAACCUAUCUCCUUCCCCUUUCUCUUCUCAAUAUGGAUCCAUGGAGGUGGGCAGCAGGGGCGCCAUCAACCGCGACGCUAGCCGUUGCCACACAAAGGAUCGAGUCCCACGUCCAUGUCUUCGUCUCCACGCCACCUCUCUCAUCACCAUGAAUCUGGAUUCGUCGAGGUGGCAAGCGGGCGUCGCUCGCACCACUCCCUCCUCCCUCGUCAGUCAUCGUCUGGUCCUCUCGAUGGGGGAGGAGUAGGGGAUCCCGCCGGAUGAGAGGCUUGCGGGCACGGUGGCGGGCGUCUCCAGUAGCGGCGGCGACCUGCAGGCCAAGGGCUACGGCGGGGCGCUCGAUUUGAUCCAGCUUAAUGGACUGGUCCCUUCAGGAGAGAGAAGGAAGGAGAGGAGGGAGAAAGAGAGGAACGAGGAGAGGGAGCUGCAGCGGCAGAUGGGAGAGCAUCACCGACCAUCGCAUCUCNNNNNNNNNNNNNNNNNNNNNNNNNNNNNNNCCUCGCUUCUGGUCAACGCUGCCGCCUCCAUCCCCGGCAACAUCUUCGUCACACACAGCCGCCUCCUUCCGCACCCCUCUUCGUCGCGCACGGCAACAAAUGGAGGUCCUCUCAGGGAGUACUAAUAUUAUUCAGUUAGCAUGCUUUUCGUGGAAGAGGAAUGAGGAUGUAAAGGUUAGAAAAUGGUAACUGAAUGAGUGUUCUCUUUUUCUGCCUCUGACUUGAAGAAAUAUACUUGUUAAUAAAUAGAAGCUUAGAUCUGUAAUCAAGCUGUGAAAGAGAGUACUGUAAUAGAGACUUCUAUAAGCAGAGGUAUGUACCUGCAUUUACACCUUAAAUAUCCCUUAAUUAGUUCUGUAUGGUUCGUCUAAUUCAUGUUGAAAUGGUUUUCUUUAGUCUGUUAAUUGUAUAGGUAAUUAGACGGUGUAGUACUAUGGCGGUGGUAUACUGAUUUGGCGUAAUAAUUACGGACAUGACUUCGUGUGUACAAUCUUACAGUUGAAGAGCUCCCCAGGCUUAACAUCUUUCUUGGAUAAUUGCGUUGCUAAAUAUGAAGGAUUCGCUCAUGUGCCAAAGCCAGCUCGGGGAAGCCUUCCUGGACUCCUGAUCAACCAGGACAAUCACGACACGAGCUUAAGCGAGCGGAACGUCGAAGGAGGAUCUUGGGGAUGACGGAGGCGUCAACAACAACCUCAAAGGUUCAUAUAUCAUCGCACUGAUUUAUUUUUUCAUUAGGUUGUGAUGUCAAGAUUACAUAUGUACACCACUUAUUCAUUAGUUCACUGUAAAUUAUUUAGGUAUAUAAUUAUAUCAACAACCAAAAAGCUCAACGGUCCUGAAUCCUGGGAUAUGGGAAGUUUGAAGAGGCCCAACAGGCCCGCCCCAGUGGCUACAAUGAACUCAUUUCGAAUUGUCAAAGAUGUGAAAAUGCUUUUCUGGACACACUUAAGAAUUCAUUUUAUUUAGUAUUCAUUUCGUGCAGAAUGAACUCAUGUCAUUUAGUAUUCAACAUGACCAUCUUUUUUUCCAUGGACACACCUAUGAACAUGAUUGAAUUGUGUUUCCAUGAAGUGUAAUUGUCGGUUUGCAGGGUGUGCUAUAUCAUCGACCUUGUAAGACUGCCACUAUCUGUUAAUAUAGAC